AUGUCCAAGUGUGUCUGGGCCCUGCUAGAUGAGGCCCUAGUGGAACAUAUGAUAGCAUCUGAACAUGAAGAUGCAAGGCUAUGGCUCGCAGUGAUGCAAGAUUCAGUCAGCGAGCAAGAAUUCAAAACGAUCCUAGUGACGCUUUGGGCCAUUUGGUGGGCGAGGAGAAAAGCAAAACAUGAGGAGAUCUUUCAGAGUCCACUAUCGACUUUCAACUUUGUUCAGAACUACAUCGCUGAAUUGGACUUAGUGCCGGCAAAGCAAAAGACUAAGCCUAUCAGAGACAGCGUAUCUCGGACAGUACUGAAGAGAUGGCUGAAGGGACCUCUGGGAGUGGCAAAGUUUAACGUCGAUGCUGCUGUCUCAAAAAAUGCAAACUUCGGAGUGAGUGUGACCAUUUGCCGCGACAACCAUGGCAAGUAUCUUGGAGGGUCAGUAUUGGUGUUUGAGGGGCUCGUUGACCCUGAGAGCUUGGAAGCACACACAUGCUGUGAGGCCUUUUCCUUGGUGGAGGAUCUUCACUUAACUCGGCUCAGAAUUGCUACAGACUGUUUAGCUAUUGUCCGUCACCUGAAGAGUAAGUUUAUGGGAGUUUCGUCCACCAUCAUUGGAGAAAUUGGGAAGAGAAUGCUGAAUUUUGUAGAAACAGAAGUAAUCCAUGAGGCAGGAGAAGCAAACUCUGAAGCUCACGAUCUUCCUAGGGCCUCAGUCUCUUUGCCUGCUGGUCGUUAUCUUUGGUUGUCCACCACGCCAGAUGUUUUAGCUGUACCAGAUGUUAUUGAUUCCUGA
Molecule: ribosomal RNA, 789 nt
Filed under: Triticum aestivum (bread wheat)
Lineage: Eukaryota; Viridiplantae; Streptophyta; Magnoliopsida; Poales; Poaceae
Description: partial small subunit ribosomal RNA
Source: RNAcentral